This 621-nucleotide ribosomal RNA is filed under the name Acaulospora foveata. RNAcentral's name for it is "partial large subunit ribosomal RNA". It matches the Rfam family "Eukaryotic large subunit ribosomal RNA", at positions 89 to 626 of the family's 3401-position model. The record is from RNAcentral. Lineage: Eukaryota; Fungi; Glomeromycota; Glomeromycetes; Diversisporales; Acaulosporaceae.
GCGAGUGAACUGGGAAAAGCUCAAAUUUUAAAUCACCUAGGUGAGUUGUAAUUUGAAGAAAGUGUUUUGAUGCUCUGGUUUGGCCUAAAUCCUUUGGGAUAAGGUAUCAUAGAGGGUGAGAAUCCCGUUCGUGACUAAACCGUGGGUGUCACUUAAUUCACUUUCCAAGAGUCGAGUUGUUUGGGAUUGCAGCUCAAAAUGGGUGGUAAAUUUCACCUAAGGCUAAAUAUGUGCAAGAGACCGAUAGCGAACAAGUACCGUGAGGGAAAGAUGAAAAGAACUUUGAAAAGAGAGUUAAAUAGUACGUGAAAUUGUUGAAAGGGAAACGAUUGAAGUCAGUCAUGCUUGCGGGGAAUCAACAAAGUGGUUUUCUUCCUUGUGCACUUCCUUGCUUGGCAGGUUAGCAUCAAUUUUGAUUGUCAUUAAAGAACUAGGGGAAUGUGGCUUCUUCGGGAGUGUUAUAGACCCUGGUAGAUGUGGCGAUUGGGAUUGAGGAUUGCAGCGAAUGCUUCUUGGCUAGUCACCUGGCUUCUGACGGUUACCUUGCUUCCGAUAGCUUGCUAACGGUGGUGAGACUCGAUUGUCUAGAUGUUAGGCUGAUCAUAAAUUCGCUAAGGAUGC